Molecule: ribosomal RNA, 497 nt
Filed under: uncultured bacterium
Lineage: Bacteria
Description: partial 16S ribosomal RNA
Rfam family: Bacterial small subunit ribosomal RNA
Source: RNAcentral
GAUGAACGCUGGCGGCGUGCCUAAUACAUGCAAGUCGAGCGAACGGACGAGAAGCUUGCUUCUCUGAUGUUAGCGGCGGACGGGUGAGUAACACGUGGAUAACCUACCUAUAAGACUGGGAUAACUUCGGGAAACCGGAGCUAAUACCGGAUAAUAUUUUGAACCGCAUGGUUCAAAAGUGAAAGACGGUCUUGCUGUCACUUAUAGAUGGAUCCGCGCUGCAUUAGCUAGUUGGUAAGGUAACGGCUUACCAAGGCAACGAUGCAUAGCCGACCUGAGAGAGUGAUCGGCCACACUGGAACAGAGACACGGUCCAGACUCCUACGGUAGGCAGCAGUAGGGAAUCUUCCGCAAUGGGCGGAAGCCUGACGGAGCAACGCCGCGUGAGUGAUGAAGGUCUUCGGAUCGUAAAACUCUGUUAUUAGGGAAGAACAGAUGUGUAAGUAACUGUGCACAUCUUGACGGUACCUAAUCAGAAAGCCACGGCUAACUACGUG